AAAGUGUUUCUAGAAAGG
RNAcentral lists this ribosomal RNA (18 nucleotides) under Aeromachus inachus. Its description in RNAcentral is "partial 12S ribosomal RNA". The record is from RNAcentral. Lineage: Eukaryota; Metazoa; Arthropoda; Insecta; Lepidoptera; Hesperiidae.